Molecule: ribosomal RNA, 492 nt
Filed under: uncultured bacterium
Lineage: Bacteria
Description: partial 16S ribosomal RNA
Rfam family: Bacterial small subunit ribosomal RNA
Source: RNAcentral
AGUGAACGCUGGCGGUAUGCCUAACACAUGCAAGUCGAACGACAACACAAUAAGAUCUUUCUCUUACGGGUAGCGAGUGGCGGACGGGUGAGGAGUACAUCGCAAUCUACUUUUUCGGGGGGAAUAUCGUGGGGACACUGACGCUAAUACAUAAUACGUCCUACGGCUUAAAUCAAUAGAUCUUCACAGCUUUCCCGUUUCUUUUAGCCGACGCCGGAUUAGCUAGUUGGCGUGGUAAAGGCACACCAAGGCAACGAUGCGUAGCUGACCUGAGAGGAUGAUCAGCCACACUGGAACUGAGACACGGUCCAGACUCCUACGGGAGGCAGCAGUGGGGAAUAUUGCACAAUGGGCGCAAGCCUGAUCCAGCCAUACCGCGUGGGUGAAGAAGGCCUUCGGGUUGUAAAACCCUGUUGUUGGGAAAGAAAAGAUGCGUAUGAAUAUAUGGACGUUCUGACGGUACCCAAAGAGAAAGCAACGGCUAACUUCGUG